This 514-nucleotide ribosomal RNA is filed under the name uncultured bacterium. RNAcentral describes it as "partial 16S ribosomal RNA". It matches the Rfam family "Bacterial small subunit ribosomal RNA", at positions 28 to 523 of the family's 1533-position model. The record is from RNAcentral.
GAUGAACGCUGGCGGCGUGCCUAAUACAUGCAAGUCGAGCGAACAGAUGAGAAGCUUGCUUCUCUGAUGUUAGCGGCGGACGGGUGAGUAACACGUGGGUAGCCUACCUAUAAGACUGGGAUAACUCCGGGAAACCGGGGCUAAUACCGGAUAAUAUUUUGAACCGCAUGGUUCAAUAGUGAAAGACGGUUUCGGCUGUCACUUAUAGAUGGACCCGCGCCGUAUUAGCUAGUUGGUAAGGUAACGGCUUACCAAGGCGACGAUACGUAGCCGACCUGAGAGGGGGAUCGGCCACACUGGAACUGAGACACGGUCCAGACUCCUACGGGAGGCAGCAGUAGGGAAUCUUCCGCAAUGGGCGAAAGCCUGACGGAGCAACGCCGCGUGAGUGAUGAAGGUCUUCGGAUUGUAAACUUCUGUUAAGUGGGAAAAAGGAAUUGCUGUUAAUAGCAGCGAGAGAUGAUGGUACCACUAGAGAAAGCACUGGCUAAUCUCGUGCCAGCAGCCGCGGUAA